UGGGAACCGUCUAUGGAAUCCCUCAGACAA
This 30-nucleotide non-coding RNA is filed under the name Rattus norvegicus (Norway rat). Lineage: Eukaryota; Metazoa; Chordata; Mammalia; Rodentia; Muridae. The record is from RNAcentral.